GCGAGAGUGGCGGAAUUGGCAGACGCGCUGGACUUAGGAUCCAGUGGUUUAUCCGUGUGGGUUCGAGUCCCUCCUCUCGCA
RNAcentral lists this transfer RNA (81 nucleotides) under Candidatus Vecturithrix granuli. It matches the Rfam family "tRNA". Rfam says of the family: Transfer RNA (tRNA) molecules are approximately 80 nucleotides in length. Their secondary structure includes four short double-helical elements and three loops (D, anti-codon, and T loops). Lineage: Bacteria; Candidatus Moduliflexota; Candidatus Vecturitrichia; Candidatus Vecturitrichales; Candidatus Vecturitrichaceae. The record is from Rfam by way of RNAcentral.